CAUAGUGGAGUAUGAUCUACACAGGGAGCUUGUGACCGGAGUAUGUAUGGGGGAGGUUUUGGCCCUGGGAAGGUGAGGAACUAGCAUGUAGCACUGUCCGAGGCUGACAGCCCAUCUGAAGAGGAUCUUGAGGCUGUUUCUUUUGUCCUCCAGUUCGCAUCAGUAUAUGUGAAGAUUGUGCUAAACUGGUCUGAAGAGCCUGCAAAAACCAAGCAGAUGGUUUGAUUUGCAGCAGGAAAGAAAAAAGUGGGGAAAAAAGCCAUGGCUCUUGCAGUUUGAGAAGAGGCCCUCCAUUGAAAAUUGAUCUUUCUUAGUAAGUUAUCUCUCAGUACCUAAAUAGUCCUAUAUUUCCUUGCCCAUCUCCUAGAUAUGG
This 373-nucleotide long non-coding RNA is filed under the name Dromaius novaehollandiae (emu). RNAcentral's name for it is "lncRNA (ENSDNVG00000001138.1)". Lineage: Eukaryota; Metazoa; Chordata; Aves; Casuariiformes; Dromaiidae. The record is from RNAcentral.